AUUGAACGCUGGCGGCAGGCCUAACACAUGCAAGUCGAGCGGUAGCACAGAGAGCUUGCUCUCGGGUGACGAGCGGCGGACGGGUGAGUAAUGUCUGGGAAACUACCUGAUGGAGGGGGAUAACUACUGGAAACGGCAGCUAAUACCGCAUAACGUCGCAAGACCAAAGUGGGGGACCUUCGGGCCUCAUGCCAUCAGAGGUGCCCAGAUGGGAUUAGCUGGUAGGUGGGGUAACGGCUCACAUAGGCGACGAGCCCGAGCUGGUCUGAGAGGAUGACCGGCCACACUGGAACUGGGACACGGUCCAGACUCCUACGGGAGGCAGCAGUGGGGAAUAUUGCACAAUGGGCGCAAGCCUGAUGCAGCCAUGCCGCGUGUGUGAAGAAGGCCUUCGGGUUGUAAAGCACUUUCAGCGGGGAGGAAGGCGGUGAGGUUAAUAACCUCAUCGAUUGACGUUACCCGCAGAAGAAGCACCGGCUAACUCCGUGCCAGCCGCCGCAGUAA
This 504-nucleotide ribosomal RNA is filed under the name uncultured bacterium. Its description in RNAcentral is "partial 16S ribosomal RNA". It matches the Rfam family "Bacterial small subunit ribosomal RNA", at positions 29 to 523 of the family's 1533-position model. The record is from RNAcentral.